GCACUGCUGAGGUGUCCCAAAAUAGGACGAAACGACCGUCCAGUGC
RNAcentral lists this non-coding RNA (46 nucleotides) under Schistosoma margrebowiei. Lineage: Eukaryota; Metazoa; Platyhelminthes; Trematoda; Strigeidida; Schistosomatidae. The record is from RNAcentral.